AGAGAGAGACAUGCGUGCAUAUCAAUAAGCGGAGGAAAAGAAACUAACAAGGAUUCCCCUAGUAACGGCGAGUGAAGCGGGAAGAGCUCAAAUUUGAAAUCUUAAAGGGUUUCCCUUUACGAAUUGUAGUUUAAAGAAGUGCUUUUUCUGUUGAGGUUUUGGUAAAAGUUCUUUGGAAUAGGACAUCAUAGAGGGUGAGAAUCCCGUAUUUGACCUUUACUUUCAACUUUGUGAUACACUUUCAAAGAGUCGGAUUGUUUGGGAAUGCAGUCCAAAAUGGGUGGUAAAUUUCAUCUAAAGCUAAAUAUUGGCGAGAGACCGAUAGCGAACAAGUACCGUGAGGGAAAGAUGAAAAGAACUUUGAAAAGAGAGUUAAACAGUACGUGAAAUUGUCAAAAGGGAAGCGUUUGACACCAGUGUUGUUUUUCUGAAAAUCAAUUAAAGAACUGUUUAUGCUAAGCUGUUUAGACUUUAUCAGCUAAUCUGUUUAGUUUUGAGCUUUUCUUUAAUGCACUUUUCAGUUAACAAGUCAACAUCAAUUUCUUUUGCUGUAAAAAAGCUUGAGGAAGGUGGCUUGAGAUUCGUCUUAAGUGUUUAUAGCCUCUUGCCUAUGCAGUCGGAGAGAUUGAGGUCUGCAGCGUAGAUCCUUCGGGGCUAAAUGCAUUUGUGCUAAGUUAUAGCAUUUUAUAGACAACUUGUUGACUAUGAUUUGUCUUGUAGCUUACUCGCUUAUGUUAUUUUACCUACGCUUAGGAUGUUGAGCGCAUGUCUCUCUCU
Molecule: ribosomal RNA, 777 nt
Filed under: uncultured Neocallimastigales
Lineage: Eukaryota; Fungi; Neocallimastigomycota; Neocallimastigomycetes; Neocallimastigales
Description: partial large subunit ribosomal RNA
Rfam family: Eukaryotic large subunit ribosomal RNA
Source: RNAcentral